This 72-nucleotide transfer RNA is filed under the name Vicugna pacos (alpaca). RNAcentral describes it as "tRNA-Ala (AGC) (tRNA-Ala-AGC-152-1)". It matches the Rfam family "tRNA". Rfam says of the family: Transfer RNA (tRNA) molecules are approximately 80 nucleotides in length. Their secondary structure includes four short double-helical elements and three loops (D, anti-codon, and T loops). The record is from Rfam by way of RNAcentral. Lineage: Eukaryota; Metazoa; Chordata; Mammalia; Artiodactyla; Camelidae.
GGGGGUAUAGCUCAGUGGUAGAGUGCGUGCUUAGCAUGCAUGAGGUCCUGGGUUCCAUCCCCAGUACCUCCA